RNAcentral lists this ribosomal RNA (738 nucleotides) under uncultured Planctomycetota bacterium. RNAcentral describes it as "bacterial SSU rRNA". It matches the Rfam family "Bacterial small subunit ribosomal RNA", at positions 587 to 1325 of the family's 1533-position model. The record is from RNAcentral. Lineage: Bacteria; Pseudomonadati; Planctomycetota.
GUCGGAUGUGAAAGCCCCGGGCUUAACCUGGGAAUUGCAUUCGAUACUGCUCGGCUAGAGUUUGGUAGAGGGAAGCGGAAUUUCCGGUGUAGCGGUGAAAUGCGUAGAUAUCGGAAGGAACACCAGUGGCGAAGGCGGCUUCCUGGACCAAAACUGACGCUGAGGUGCGAAAGCGUGGGUAGCAAACAGGAUUAGAUACCCUGGUAGUCCACGCCCUAAACGAUGAGAACUAGACGUUGGGGGUAUUUAGACCCUUUGUGUCGCAGCAAACGCGUUAAGUUCUCCGCCUGGGGAGUACGGCCGCAAGGUUGAAACUCAAAGUAAUUGACGGGGGCCUGCACAAGCGGUGGAGCACGUGGUUUAAUUCGAUGCAACGCGAAGAACCUUACCAGGGCUUGACAUGUCCGGAACCCCAGGGAAACUUGGGGGUGCCUUCGGGAGCCGGAACACAGGUGGUGCAUGGCUGUCGUCAGCUCGUGUCGUGAGAUGUUGGGUUAAGUCCCGCAACGAGCGCAACCCUCGUUCUUAGUUGCCAGCAUUAAGUUGGGCACUUUAGGGAGACUGCCGGUGACAAACCGGAGGAAGGUGGGGAUGACGUCAAGUCAGCAUGCCCCUUACGCUCUGGGCAACACACGUACUACAAUGGUAGGGACAAAGGGCAGCGAGCCUGCGAAGGUCAGCUAAUCCCAUAAACCCUGCCUCAGUUCAGAUCGCAGGCUGCAACUCGCCUGCGUGAAG